Molecule: ribosomal RNA, 300 nt
Filed under: uncultured bacterium
Lineage: Bacteria
Description: bacterial SSU rRNA
Rfam family: Bacterial small subunit ribosomal RNA
Source: RNAcentral
UUGUCCUACGGGGGGCAGCAGUGAGGAAUAUUGGUCAAUGGGCGAGAGCCUGAACCAGCCAAGUCGCGUGAGGGAGUACUGCCCUAUGGGUUGUAAACCUCUUUUGUCGGGGAGCAAAAGCCGGACGUGUCCGGCUGUGAGAGUACCCGAAGAAAAAGCAUCGGCUAACUCCGUGCCAGCAGCCGCGGUAAUACGGAGGAUGCGAGCGUUAUCCGGAUUUAUUGGGUUUAAAGGGUGCGCAGGCGGCGAGUUAAGUCAGCGGUAAAAUUUCGGGGCUCAACCCCGACGAGCCGUUGAAAC